AAAUGCUCUGCUGGGUGCAGCUUGAUACGAUCGCAGAGGUCGAACCCUGAACAGUUGGGGCAAGUAUGGACACAACAUUCAAGCUUGAUACAGCUCUGAAUUUGGAUUGUGAUUAAAUAUUUGACACAGCAUAGGUUUCUGACACAGAAUGAAUGUGGUCUAAGAACUUAAAAAUUUUAAAUUGGACAUUCACCUUUUAUGGUCCAAUAUCCAAAAUCUAAAUACAUGGUUAGAUUCAGCAUAUCAAAGAACACCAAGAAUUCAAUUUUUGAUGAAAUCAAACAAAGUUUAAUUUUGGACCCUUUUGACCUCAAUGUGGACAAAGUUGAUAACGGGGCCCAAAAAUCAAAAAUCUAAAUACAUGGUUAGAUUCAGCAUAUCAAAGAUCCCAUAUAUUCAAUUUUUGUUGAAAUCAAACAAAGUUUAAUUUUGGACCCCGAUUUGGACUAACUUGAAAACUGGGCCCAUAAUCAAAAAUCUAAAUACAUAUUUAGAUUCAGCAUAUCAAAGAACCCUAAGAAUUCAAUUUUUGUUAAAAUCAAACUAAGUCUAAUUUUGGACCCUUUGGACCUUAAUGUAGACCAAUUUGAAAACUGAACCAAAAAUUAAGAAUCUAAAUACACGGUUAGAUUUGGCAUAUCAAAGAACCCCAAUAAUUCAAUUUUUGAUGAAAUCAAACAAAGUUUAAUUUUGGACCCUUUUGACCUCAAUAUGAACCAAUUUGAUAGCUGGACCCACAAAUAAAAAAUCUAAAUACAUGGUUAGAUUCAGCAUAUCAAAGAACCCCAUAUAUUCAAUUUUUGUUGAAAUCAAACAAAGUUUAAAUUGGACCCCAAUUUGGACCAACUUGAAAACUGGGCCCAAAAUCAAAAAUCUAAAUACAUGUUUAGAUUCAGCAUAUCAAAGAACCCCAUAUAUUCAAUUUUUGUUAAAAUCAAUCCAAGUUUAAUUUAGGACCCUUUGGACCUCAAUGUGGACCAAUUUGAUAACAGGGUCCAAAAAUCAAAAUACAUGGUUAGAUUCAGCAUAUCAAAGAACCCAAUAUAUUCAAUUUUUGUUGAAAUCAAACAAAGUUUAAUUUUGGACCCCAACUUGGACCAACUUGAAAACUGGACCCAUAAUCAAAAAUCUAAACACAUGUUUUGAUUCAGCAUAUCAAAGAACCCCAAGAAUUUAAUUUUUGUUAAAAUCAAACUAAGUUUAAUUUUGGACCCUUUGGACCUUAAUGUAGACCAAUUUAAGAAACGGGACCCAAAAUUAAAAAUCUAAAUACACGGUUAGAUUUGGCAUAUCAAAGAACCCCAAUAAUUCAAUUUUUGAUGAAAUAAAACAAAGUUUAAUUUUGGACCCUUUUGACCUCAAUAUGAACCAAUUUGAUAGCGGGGCACACAAAUAAAAAAUCUAAAUACAUGGUUAGAUUCAGCAUAUCAAAGAACCCCAUAUAUUCAAUUUUUGUUGAAAUCAAACAAAGUUUAAUUUUGGACCCCAAUUUGGACCAACUUGAAAACUGGGCCCAAAAUCAAAAAUCUAAAUACAUUUUUAGAUUCAGCAUAUCAAAGAACCCCAUAUAUUCAAUUUUUGUUAAAAUCAAUCUAAGUUUAAUUUUGGACCCUUUGGACCUUAAUGUAGACCAAUUUGAAAACUGGACCCAAAAUUAAAAAUCUAAAUACACGGUUAGAUUUGGCAUAUCAAAGAACCCCAAUAAUUCAAUUUUUGAUGAAAUCAAACAAAGUUUAAUUUUGGACCCUUUUGACCUCAAUAUGAACCAAUUUGAUAGCGGGGCCCACAAAUAAAAAAUCUAAAUACAUGGUUAGAUUCAGCAUAUCAAAGAACCCCAUAUAUUCAAUUUUUGUUGAAAUCAAACAAAGUUUAAUUUUGGACCCCAAUUUGGACCAACUUGAAAACUGGGCCCGAAAUCAAAAAUCUAAAUGCAUGUUUAGAUUCAGCAUAUCAAAGAACCCCAUAUAUUCAAUUUUUGUUAAAAUCAAACUAAGUUUAAUUUUGGACCCUUUGGACCUUAAUGUAGACCAAUUUGAAAACUGGACCCAAAAUUAAAAAUAUAAAUACACGGUCAGAUUUGGCAUAACAAACAAAUAAAUGUGGUCAAAGAUUUUACAAAUCUAAUGCGCCAUACUGUGCAAUUAAAGAUUACUUCUUGAAAUUUUUCAAUAUUUGAAAUUUGAAAAAAAAAUAAUAUUUGAAGAAUAAUUCUUUUUAAUUUCUGAAAUCUGAAAUGAGAAAAAUUUGACCCCCCACAAUUUCUUUUUACCCCCCCUCAAUUCUUUCCCUCAAGAUAUGGUCAUAAUCUCAAUUCAAAUUUCCAAUGGAAUUUGCAACCAUAAUUACCCAUUUAAAUUUACCAUAGUGCUAACUUAAUUUAUUUUAUAAUAGAAUUUAUAAUAUGGUGUCAAAUCUUUCAUAUGGAUUUUUUUGUAAAAAAAAAAAAAAAGAUGGAACAUUUGCAGAUAUUUUUAUUGGUCUUCCUUUAUAAAUAUGCAUUUCUUUAAACAUAAUUUAAAAGCAGUGUAAGGGAAGUAAUCAAAGCGUUGUAUGUGGAUUACCUCCCUUACACUGUUUUAAAUUAUCUUAAUUGUUCAUUAACCAUUACUUUAUACAUAGUUUAAAAGCAGUGUAAGGGACGUAAUUCAAAUGAUGUAUUUGAUUUAUCUCCCUUACACUGCUUUAAAUUAUGUUUUGUACUCAAGUAUUUGUCCAUAUAAAAAUGCUUGUUUUUUGCCCCUUUUAUGGCCCCUAAUUCCUAAAAUUUUGAGGCAAUUACCCCCAAAAUCAAUCCCAGCAUUCCCUUUGUGAUAUGGUACCUUGUGGUACAAUGUCAGAGAGAUCCAUACACUAAAACACAAGUUAUGUCUGGAAGUUACAAAAAUGCUUAUUUUUGGCCCCUUUUUGGCCCCUAAUUCCUUAACUGUUGGUACCAUAACCCCCAAAAUCAAUCAUACCAAUAUAUGAUCGCAAAAAUCUUUUUGCGGUCGUAUAAAAACUCCUACAAAGAGCCAACUGAAGAUUUUUACAAUAUAUUGACUUAUUUAUAGAUCUUGUCUUACUGACCAUUUUUUCUUGAAAGUUUCGAUUUAUCUUUUAUAUUUUUGAAGAUAAUAGACAAAAGCACAAAAAAGUGGUAAAAAUUUACAUUAAAGGACAAUUAUUGCAACAAUAAGCUGACUGACGAUUUCAGCCAUGCCAACUUAUUUGUAGAUCUUGUUUUGCUGAUCGUUUUCGUUAUUAAAUCAAUGUCUAUCUAUUAUAAUUUUGAAGAUCAAAUGCAAAAAUGAAACAAAUUGGUAUAACUCAUCAUUUAAGGACAAUAACUGAAAAAAAAGUUGUCUGACAUUUUUGAUUUAAAUAGACAGACAGUAGAUCUCAUCUUUCAGAACAUCUGUGACAUCCUUCAGAUUUUCUCCAUCUAAAGUUGUUUUAAAAAUUAGUUCUUUUUUUAGCCAUGUCAGCCAUGUUUGUUGGCAUGCGGGUUCAUCGGACAUAAAAUUUAAAGAAGAUACUCCAAUGAUGAUUGUGGCCAAAUUUGAUUAAAUUUAGCA
This is a long non-coding RNA of Mytilus californianus (California mussel), 3554 nucleotides long. RefSeq lists it as uncharacterized. The record is from RefSeq and is a predicted model, not a curated record. The transcript is spliced from 3 exons. Lineage: Eukaryota; Metazoa; Mollusca; Bivalvia; Mytilida; Mytilidae.